This 549-nucleotide ribosomal RNA is filed under the name uncultured bacterium. RNAcentral's name for it is "bacterial SSU rRNA". It matches the Rfam family "Bacterial small subunit ribosomal RNA", at positions 355 to 895 of the family's 1533-position model. The record is from RNAcentral.
UGGGGAAUUUUGGACAAUGGGCGCAAGCCUGAUCCAGCCAUGCCGCGUGUCUGAAGAAGGCCUUCGGGUUGUAAAGGACUUUUGUCAGGGAAGAAAAGGAUAGGGUUAAUACCCCUGUCUGAUGACGGUACCUGAAGAAUAAGCACCGGCUAACUACGUGCCAGCAGCCGCGGUAAUACGUAGGGUGCGAGCGUUAAUCGGAAUUACUGGGCGUAAAGCGGGCGCAGACGGUUACUUAAGCAGGAUGUGAAAUCCCCGGGCUCAACCUGGGAACUGCGUUCUGAACUGGGUGACUAGAGUGUGUCAGAGGGAGGUAGAAUUCCACGUGUAGCAGUGAAAUGCGUAGAGAUGUGGAGGAAUACCGAUGGCGAAGGCAGCCUCCUGGGAUAACACUGACGUUCAUGCCCGAAAACGUGGGUAGCAAACAGGAUUAGAUACCCUGGUAGUCCACGCCCUAAACGAUGUCGAUUAGCUGUUGGGCAGCUUGACUGCUUAGUAGCGAAGCUAACGCGUGAAAUCGACCGCCUGGGGGAGUACGGUCGCAAGAUU